This 433-nucleotide ribosomal RNA is filed under the name uncultured bacterium. RNAcentral's name for it is "partial 16S ribosomal RNA". It matches the Rfam family "Bacterial small subunit ribosomal RNA", at positions 29 to 507 of the family's 1533-position model. The record is from RNAcentral.
AACGAACGCUGGCGGCAUGCCUAACACAUGCAAGUCGAACGAGACCUUCGGGUCUAGUGGCGCACGGGUGCGUAACGCGUGGGAACCUGCCUUUAGGUUCGGAAUAACUCAGAGAAAUUUGAGCUAAUACCGGAUGAUGUCUUCGGACCAAAGAUUUAUCGCCUUUAGAUGGGCCCGCGUUGGAUUAGCUAGUUGGUGGGGUAAAGGCCUACCAAGGCGACGAUCCAUAGCUGGUCUGAGAGGAUGAUCAGCCACACUGGGACUGAGACACGGCCCAGACUCCUACGGGAGGCAGCAGUACAGAAUAUUGGACAAUGGGCGAAAGCCUGAUCCAGCAAUGCCGCGUGAGUGAUGAAGGCCUUAGGGUUGUAAAGCUCUUUUACCCGAGAUGAUAAUGACAGUAGCGGGAGAAUAAGCUCCGGCUAACUCCGUG